AGUGAACGCUGGCGGCAGGCCUAACACAUGCAAGUCGAACGGCAGCACAGUAAGAGCUUGCUCUUACGGGUGGCGAGUGGCGGACGGGUGAGGAAUACAUCGGAAUCUACUUUUUCGUGGGGGAUUACGUAGGGAAACUUACGCUAAUACCGCAUACGACCUACGGGUGAAAGCAGUGGAUCUUCGGACCUUGUGCGAUUGACUGAGCCGAUGUCGGAUUAGCUAGUUGGCGGGGUAAAGGCCCACCAAGGCGACGCUCCGGAGCUGGUCUGAGAGGAUGAUCAGCCACACUGGAACUGAGACACGGUCCAGACUCCUACGGGAGGCAGCAGUGGGGAAUAUUGGACAAUGGGCGCAAGCCUGAUCCAGCCAUACCGCGUGGGUGAAGAAGGCCUUCGGGUUGUAAAGCCCUUUUGUUGGGAAAGAAAAGCAGCAGGUUAAUACCCCGCUGUUCUGACGGUACCCAAAGAAUAAGCACCGGCUAACUUCGUG
RNAcentral lists this ribosomal RNA (492 nucleotides) under uncultured bacterium. RNAcentral's name for it is "partial 16S ribosomal RNA". It matches the Rfam family "Bacterial small subunit ribosomal RNA", at positions 29 to 507 of the family's 1533-position model. The record is from RNAcentral.